CCUACGGGUGGCAGCAGUGAGGAAUAUUGGUCAAUGGGCGAGAGUCUGAACCAGCCAAGCCGCGUGCAGGAUGACGGAUCUAUGGUUUGUAAACUGCUUUUAUAUGGGAGUAAAGUGAGGAACGUGUUCCUUUUUGUAUGUACCAUAUGAAUAAGCAUCGGCUAACUCCGUGCCAGCAGCCGCGGUAAUACGGAGGAUGCGAGCGUUAUCCGGAUUUAUUGGGUUUAAAGGGUGCGUAGGUGGUUAAUUAAGUCAGCGGUGAAAGGUUGUGGCUCAACCAUAAAAUUGCCGUUGAAACUGGUUGACUUGAGUAUAUGUGAGGUAGGCGGAAUGCAUGGUGUAGCGGUGAAAUGCGUAGAUAUCACGCAGAACACCGAUUGCGAAGGCAGCUUACUAAACUAUAACUGACACUGAGGCACGAAAGCGUGGGGAGCAAACAGGAUUAGAUACCCCUGUAGUC
RNAcentral lists this ribosomal RNA (460 nucleotides) under uncultured bacterium. RNAcentral's name for it is "partial 16S ribosomal RNA". It matches the Rfam family "Bacterial small subunit ribosomal RNA", at positions 338 to 795 of the family's 1533-position model. The record is from RNAcentral.